This 272-nucleotide ribosomal RNA is filed under the name uncultured bacterium. RNAcentral's name for it is "partial 16S ribosomal RNA". It matches the Rfam family "Bacterial small subunit ribosomal RNA", at positions 9 to 276 of the family's 1533-position model. The record is from RNAcentral.
GAGUUUGAUCCUGGCUCAGUACAAACGCUGGCGGCACGCUUAACACAUGCAAGUCGAACGGUGAUAUAAAGAAAUUACUUAUGAUAUCUUAUUGGCGGAUUGGUGAGUAACACGUGAGCAACCUGCCUUGGAGAGAGGGAUAGCUUCUGGAAACGGAUGGUAAUACCUCAUAACGUACAGAGACCGCAUGAUUUCUGUAUCAAAGAUUUAUCACUCUGAGAUGGGCUCGCGUCUGAUUAGCUAGAUGGUGAGGUAACGGCCCCCCAUGGCGA